GGAUGUGAGGACGAUCUGGCCGUGACAUGUUACCCCACUGAUCGCCAGGGUUGAUUCAGCUGAUCUGGGUGGCUAGGCGGGUGGCCCCUUCCUCCCUCACUGCUCCAUGUGUGUCCCUCCGGAAGCUGUGUGCUCAGUCAAAGAGGACGACCAUCCCUGAUAGAGGAGGACCAUUCUUCAGUCGGUCAAGGGUAUAUGAGUAGCUGCAUUCCCCUGCUAGAACCUCCAAACAAGCUCUCAAGGAAUUAAUGUUUCUGAGGACCCAGUUAGCUCAUUCAUUUACAUCUCAAAGGCACUAGAAGAAAAACACUGAUUUCUUC
The sequence is an unclassified non-coding RNA, 320 nucleotides long. Its record names the gene 7SK. It matches the Rfam family "7SK RNA". From Rfam's summary of the family: 7SK was discovered as an abundant small nuclear RNA in the mid-70s but a possible function has only recently been suggested. Two independent studies have found that 7SK RNA binds the CDK9/cyclin T complex (known as elongation factor P-TEFb). The record is from Ensembl.